GGACAGCACAUCAACUGAUGCCUUUAAUACAGGAUGGAAUGACAGACACGUGGUCUUACAGUGCGUAUAGCGAGGUGAAUGCUUCACAGCACCCACAGCGACUGGAUUCAAAUGUCUGGCAGCGGCCUGAUUCCAAAUGGCGGGAGCUACCAUCUAUCAAUGCAGCUGGUCAGGUGGCCACUUCUGGCCCAAUCGGUCAUGGUCAAGAGGCCAGGGACAUGUGCAAAAAGCAUGACUGCCUGAGGCCCAGAGCCCUGGCCUCUGGAGGAGGCUUCCAGGUGCUGGGUAAAUAGCCAAGGAGUCCACCACAUCCUGCUGAGCUGAACUGUCGUGAGAGCCCUGGAACUUUUACAGCCAGCA
RNAcentral lists this long non-coding RNA (360 nucleotides) under Ictidomys tridecemlineatus (thirteen-lined ground squirrel). RNAcentral's name for it is "lncRNA (ENSSTOG00000029930.1)". Lineage: Eukaryota; Metazoa; Chordata; Mammalia; Rodentia; Sciuridae. The record is from RNAcentral.